AAAGACUAAAAAAAAAGACUACAUUUAUUUAUAUAUAGAAAUCAAAAAGCCCUCUCUUAUAUAUAUAUUUGCAUCUUCUGGAAGAUGAAUGGUGUAGUAAAAGAGUUUCUUAGGAGUAUCAGUGUAGAGCCAUUUUGGCAUUCUGUCCACCUCCCAGCUUGCUGAGGACUGAGGAGGGGGCCAAAGUGCCAAACUAGCUCUGCAGCUCUCUCUCUUUCACAAAACCUCUAAGAUUACGUACUUUGUGCGCGUAUGGAAACAACCUCCAUCUCUACCUCCAACAGAUGAAAUAUGUAGGGCAACUGGCUGGGGACUGGAUGUUGGAUGAAGCAAAUUAUUAUUUUCCUGAAAUUGAGAAACUGUUGCCUGGCGAUAGUGGACUAGUGGCAAGUCAAGUUUUCUUUGAGUCCGGCCUAUCCGAAACAAUUUUCCUCUCGUCACAAGGUAGUGAUAGGGUCUACCUUACCGUGGUAUUAUACUGGAUUUUUUGUUGUAUGUAAUCUAUAAUCACCAUCAAAUGUCAACUAGGAGGAGAUCCACUUUAAGUUUAAAGUCCAUGGGGAUAAUACGUUAUUAAGUUGAUGUUACAUACAUCAGACAUGUUAUUUAUCAAAGGUGUCGCCUUCGCUGCUUA
Molecule: long non-coding RNA, 634 nt
Organism: Solanum pennellii
Lineage: Eukaryota; Viridiplantae; Streptophyta; Magnoliopsida; Solanales; Solanaceae
Exons: 2
Source: RefSeq, a predicted model, not a curated record